RNAcentral lists this long non-coding RNA (1954 nucleotides) under Sus scrofa (pig). RNAcentral's name for it is "lncRNA (ENSSSCG00005041784.1)". The record is from RNAcentral. Lineage: Eukaryota; Metazoa; Chordata; Mammalia; Artiodactyla; Suidae.
AGCCAAUCCUGUGGCAUAUGGAGGUUCCCAGGCUAGGGGUCAAAUGGGAGCCAAAGCCGCCAGCCUAUACCACAGCCACAGCAACUCGGGCUCUGAGGUGCGUCUGCGACCUACACCACAGCUCAUGGCAAGGCCAGAUCCUUAAUGCACUGAACGAGGCUAGGGAUCGAACCCGUGUCCUCAUGGAUACUAGUCGUGUUCGCAACCUGCUGAGCCACAACGGGAACUCCCUCAAACUGAAAUUUCUAUUUGCUACAUUCAUUGAAAAGCAAAAAACAAACAAAGCACUCUGAACAACAACAACAAAAAGAAGUAUAAAAUUAAUGAAACUCAGCUCAUCACUAAUCCCCCAACCACAGCAGCGAGAAUUUCCUGAUUGGAGCAAGUGUGUCGGGGGAGGUCAUCCAAGGUAGAGACGGAGGAAGAUCCUGAAUUCAGCUCCUCCCCUGACAGCCUGAACCUACAGCUACGUACGGAACAAUUUCCUCCGAAAAAGACCUGAAAACUAGCUGUGCAGCUCCUUCUUCUCUACAAACAAGGAAAGAGCCACAUGGAGGCAGGCAGGACACGCUAAGCCACGAUGCCUCCCCAAGGCCGUGACCCCCAAUCAGAGGGAACACACAAACCUGGGGCCUCCCCCUGAGGACAGAGAGGUUCAUACCCCACAUCAGCACUCCAGCAUUUAAGACCAACCGCUGAGAGAUGAACCUCCAAAACGUCUGACUUCGAAAACCAGCAGGGCCACACCCACGAGAAAGACCCAAAGGCUGCAGCAAACUGAGCAGCACCCCUGCAAGGGCACGGACUCAGUGGCCAGGGGCCAGCACAGAAGCGGCUGUUGGAAAAGCAUCCAGAUUUUCUGCCAAAGAACUCAUUUGCAAAGCUUAAGGCAUGGGCCUGAGGGGUUGGGGUCUGACAGAUUCUGGAUGGAGGCACCGGUGGGCACCCUUCCAGCACGCUCCCUCUGCCUCGCUAAAGCCAGCAGCUGCCAUUUUUCUUUCUUGGUCCUUAGAGGGUGUCUUCCUUGCCUGCUCCCUCUGCCACAGUCCUCAGCACCAGUGUCUCCCAGAGGGGAGCUUUAUACACAGCUGGUGCCCAGUUUUCAUGUCUGGGUUUUAAGUGUCCCAGUUUUUACAUCUAGUGUCCUGGUUUUUGCAGCUGACACCCAGGGGACAUCCCUGAAACACCUGACUCGAGUGCCCAGGAGGGCUUUCCUUUCUGGGUCCCCUAGGACUAGAGCACUAGGACAGACAGGUCUUGACAGCUACCGGCCCAGGGCACCACACAGAGAGCAGACUGAAACACACCCGGCCCCUCUGUGAAAGUGGCCUGAGUACUUGUCCUAGAGUUUCUGCCUGAAAGGUGGGUUUUAGGGCGGUACAUACCUGGAGGCUAUGGAGUGGCUCUCAGGGACUGUAGUUUGGGGGGGACACCACUUUUUCGCUCUCCGUCUGACUCAGUAUAGGUCACUGGAAUCUCCCAGAAAGGAGGUAACCAUCUCCUCUAGAUACUGAUUCUUGUGAUUGUCACCCCGGAGGGACACCUCCAAAUCGCCUGGCCUGGUGGCCAACAGGGCUUACGCUGCUGGUCCCACAGGACUGUAUAUAUUUUCCACUUUGAAAGCUGUUGCCUGAGUAGCUGGCUGCCAAUCAGGUGCUGAUCUAGGUGCUGACUGAGCGUUCAAAGUGAUGGGCAUAAAGAUGCUCUUUGGAGUUCCUGCUGUGGUGAAAUGUGAGCAGCCGUGUCUCUGCAGCACCAGGACACAGGUUCGAUCCCUACCUGGCACAGUGGGUUAAAGGAUCUGGCAUUAUCAUCAGCUUCGGUGUAGGGAUAAGAUGCUCAUCAACUUGGAAGAAUGGAUAGAGAAAGGAUGAUACUGUCUUUUAGACGCCUCUGUAUUUCUGACACACACUAUUCAAUUACAGUGCUCCCUUGAACAACAUAGGUUUAAACU